UGUGUAAUGUGUGGCUAUGUGACGUUGGCACUUCUACCAGAUACAACAGAAUUAGAUUUAUCUAUUUUCUUGAGCAUUGCUUGCAAUGUCAUGGCGAUCUUAUAUUGUACGACGAGCUAUUGGGUAGGCCUAUGGGUUUACAUGUACUGAGUAAUAAUGGAUUACGUGCACGGUAUUUGGAUCCUAUUCGUUAUACUUUUGGUGGUAGUAAUGAAAUAUUGCGUAAUAUUAUAUCUGGCUUUUAUCGUUGUUCUGAUUUAGAUGUUCAGAAUAACUUUAAAGUAUAUGCUGCUAUUGUUGAUAAUGCUGCGUUUGUAAUGCGAGAUAACAAGCUAGUUACGAAAUAUUGUAUUAGCAAGUACUAUGAGUUCAUAUUUAGCACUAAAUUAUCUGAUAAAUAUCGUUAUUUAGUUGCUAAUUGCAGUAAUGGAUAUAGGGAUUGUAUUGAAAUUAAACAUACUGAAAGUUUGUUUACUAAUAUAUAUUCUGAGAUCUUAGGUAGCACUAAGUUAUAUAAUGGUGUUUGUAUUGAAGCUGACAAUAAAACUAGUUUGUACAGCGAUGUACAGUUUGAUACUAUGUGUGACAAUAAGUCAUCUUAUGGUGUUAGUGUUGAUACUAUGUGUGGCAAUAAGUCAUCUUAUGCUGUUAGUGUUGAUACUAUGUGUGGCAAUAAGUCAUCUUAUGGUGUUAGGGUUAAUACUAUGUGUGACAAUAAGUCAUCUUAUGGUGUUAGUGUUGAUACUAUGUGUGGCAAUAAGUCAUCUUAUGCUGUUAGUGUUGAUACUAUGUGUGGCAAUAAGUCAUCUUAUGGUGUUAGUGUUGAUACUAUGUGUGACAAUAAGUCAUCUUAUGGAGUUAGUGUUGAUACUAUGUGUGACAAUAAGUCAUCUUAUGGUGUUAGGGUUGAUACUAUGUGUGACAAUAAGUCAUCUUAUGGAGUUAGUGUUGAUACUAUGUGUGACAAUAAGUCAUCUUAUGGAGUUAGUGUUGAUACUAUGUGUGACAAUAAGUCAUCUUAUGGAGUUAGUGUUGAUACUAUGUGUGACAAUAAGUCAUCUUAUGGAGUUAGGGUUGAUACUAUGUGUGGCAAUAAGUCAUCUUAUGGAGUUAGUGUUGAUACUAUGUGUGACAAUAAGUCAUCUUAUGGUGUUAGGGUUGAUACUAUGUGUGACAAUAAGUCAUCUUAUGGUGUUAGGGUUGAUACUAUGUGUGACAAUAAGUCAUCUUAUGGAGUUAGGGUUGAUACUAUGUGUGGCAAUAAGUCAUCUUAUGGUGUUAGGGUUGAUACUAUGUGUGACAAUAAGUCAUCUUAUGGUGUUAGGGUUGAUACUAUGUGUGACAAUAAGUCAUCUUAUGGUGUUAGGGUUGAUACUAUGUGUGGCAAUAAGUCAUCUUAUGGUGUUAGUGUUGAUACUAUGUGUGACAAUAAGUCAUCUUAUGCUGUUAGUGUUGAUACUAUGUGUGACAAUAAGUCAUCUUAUGGUGUUAGGGUUGAUACUAUGUGUGACAAUAAGUCAUCUUAUGGUGUUAGGGUUGAUACUAUGUGUGACAAUAAGUCAUCUUAUGGUGUUAGGGUUGAUACUAUGUGUGGCAAUAAGUCAUCUUAUGGUGUUAGUGUUGAUACUAUGUGUGACAAUAAGUCAUCUUAUGCUGUUAGUGUUGAUACUAUGUGUGACAAUAAGUCAUCUUAUGCUGUUAGUGUUGAUACUAUGUGUGACAAUAAGUCAUCUUAUGCUGUUAGUGUUGAUACUAUGUGUGACAAUAAGUCAUCUUAUGCUUUUAGUGUUGAUACUAUGUGUGACAAUAAGUCAUCUUAUGCUGUUAGUGUUGAUACUAUGUGUGACAAUAAGUCAUCUUAUGCUGUUAGUGUUGAUACUAUGUGUGACAAUAAGUCAUCUUAUGCUGUUAGUGUUGAUACUAACCAUUGUGAUACCUCGUGUAGUGAGUUUAAGAAUAUGUGUGCCAAUAAGUUAUCUUCUUGUGUUAGUGUAUAUACUAACCAUUUUGAUAGCUCGAGUAUUGAUGGUCAGUUUGAGAAUAUAUUUGGCAAUAAGUUAUCUUAUGGUGUUAGUGUUGAUACUAAUUAUAUUGAUAGCUCGAGUAUUGAUGGUCAGUUUGGAAAUAUAUGUGACAAUAAGUUAUCUUCUUGUGUUAGUGUUGAUACUAAUUAUAUUGAUAGCUUGUACAGCGAUGUUCAUUAUGAAAAUAUUUGUACAAAUAAGUUAUCUUUUGGUGUUUUCAGUGAAACUAAGUUUUUUAGUAGUUGUGGUAACAACAUAGUUUUAAAAAAUUUAGGUAACACUCUGAUAUCCUUUGUCUAUUCCAAUUUGGUCACUAAGUUCAAGAAUAAUGCUUUUGAUACGCAUUCUACUAGUAAUAGGAGCAGUAUGGUCAUUGGUCCAUUUUCUAAGGAAGUUGUAAAGCUUCUUUUUGUUUAUAUGGACUUAAAUAACUUUUGUUUCAGAAAGAUAUUUUGUAUGUCUAACCAUUUAGACUUUCUGCUUUACAAAUUUGCAUAUAAGACUUGUGAUCGAAACUCAUAUUUAGUAAACUUUUACCAUAUUGAGACAUCUUCUGAGGUUUCUAUAGUUGAAAAGGUUUUUACUCAAUGUUUUGUAUUGAUCACUUUUGACAAGGUUCGGCGUUUCGUUUAUUCUAUUAGACGAUUCACAGGGUUGUAUGAUAUUAGGUACUCUUCUUGUAGGUGUUAUGAUAUUGUAAUACAAGAUAAACAGAAUGAUUUAGAGUUAACUGGUUAUUCUGUUUCUGAAAGUGUUGAGUCGUCAGAAAGUAAUCAUACAAGUAAUGAACAGAAGGAAAAUAAACUAGGUAAACUACUCGAAAUAGGAGUUCAAUCGCGCGAGAUCGAUAGUAAGUCUGAAAGUUCUUGCUUAAAGUCGACUUUUAAUCACGUUUCUAGAGUAACUGGGAUUUCUAAAGGGGGACCACCGUUAUUGCCAACACCACACACACACAGAACACUACCGUUACUAGCCACACCUAUCCAUUCUAGAUAUUCACAUUUUUACCCAAGAAGACCAAACAUUAAGCAACAGUUUGUACCCUUCUGCAACAGAAAUAGAUACAAAUCAUACCAAGUUACACCAACGCUCAGAACAAAUGUACAAGCACAAGAUAACAGACAACAGAAUCAACAAUUGCUAUUUGAUACCAUAGAUAAUGAUGCCCAGUCAAAAUUUGUUGUGGCUGAUGUUAUUAAGCAUAGAUCUAGUGCAGUCAAGCAAAAAGACGAGUUUUCUAUUAACAAGAAAUUAACUUCGAAAACAACAGAUCAUAGUUCUUCGAAUACUAACCCACGAGACACUCCUUCAAUUGCGGAUAGUUGCGAACCUAUUUCUAGGAUUUGCGCCUCUCCUCCUGAAAAUUGCCUCUCUCCUCCUGGAAGUUGCCUCUCUCCUCCUGGAAGUUACACGUUUCCCACUAGAAGUUCUCUCUCUUCUGAAAGGUUCACAACUUGGCCUCCAAGAGGCAAUACGCUUCUUGAAAAUUGCAUCGAUCAGCCUGUAAGCUGCAUAUCACCUCCAAGACCAUACAGCACAUGGCCUACAAGCUACGCUCUGUUUCCUAUAAGCUACAGCACAGGACCUACAAGCUACUUGUCGUUUCCUAGGAACUGCGACGUUUCUCUCGAAGGUAGCGUCACGAGUGUUACAAUGAAUAACGUUUUUAAUUCAAAGAGUAAGCCAGAGAAAAUCUCUCCGUAAGACAGCAGACGUUACAGAUCAAAUUGCCCGGAUGAAGGAAAGCUUUGAGCUUUAUAGAAUUUACUGAUGCCUCAGACAAAGGGAUCUCUGGCAUUCUUAGCCAGUGUGUGAAUGGUAUGUUGCAUCCUAUAAAAUUAUGUGAGCCGUAAAGUGUUGCCUCGGGAGCAGAAGUAUUUUACCAUUAAACCUGAAGAAGUGGCCAUUGUAUAUGCAAUAGAAAAAGGGACAAUUAUUGGCCGGGAACAAAAUUUAAUCUCCAGACUGACCACAAGGCUUUAUGUUACUUUAGGAGCACUAACUGUACCAAUGCUCGCAUUACAAGAUGGGCUCUAGUGUUACAAGAUUAUUCCUUUGAUGUUGUUCACGUCUGAGGAAAGGACAAUCUGCUUGCUGAUCCGUGCUCAAGAUAGACUUUCCAAUGUGCAGCUACAUAAGUUACAUAUUUAUGUAUUUUUGGUAUAUACAUGUCUUAUGCAUUUUAAUGUUCCAAUGUAUACAUUAUUGUUUGAAAAUGUUUGCACUUUAUGUUAGAUGAAAUUAUGUUGCAUUUAGUAUUAUUGACAUUAAUUUGUUGAUUAUGCAUUUUAAAUUUGAUCGGUUGGUAGAUGUGAUUUUGUGAAUGGUUCAUAGUGUAAUGUGGAUACUUUGGUAAAAAGUAUAAUUGGUAAUUUUUCUUCUAAGUUGUUAUGUUUGGAAGAGUGAUGUUAAUGCGGAUGAAUGUUCCCUAGCUGGAUGUGCUUACCUUGUAGCUGCAAUGAUAUCUUCUUACUUUUCUUUCAGUUUGAGGUACGGAAACUGGUCCAUACUUUGUAAGAACCAGUUUGGGGGGAGAGGGGGAAUGUCGGUGCGUAGAUUAUGGCAUUCUAGCACCAAUGUGUAUUAAGUGCACUAUUUUUGAACGCACUUUCUUUUUGUUGCCUUGCUUGUAAGUUAAUGGAGUGUUUUUGUUCUGCUGGUGUAACGUUUGUUGAGAUUUUUCUGUGUUCCCCUGUUUAGGGUGAGUAUCUAAGGCAUAACUGCGUUUCGCAGUUGUUUCGAUGCCAUAGUGAUAGUCUACUAGACCUUUCUAGUUUGUCUUUACUUUGUCUUUACAGGGAGUUAGCUUGGGAUUGGUGACUAAAGACAGCAGUGUCAGAGUGUGUUGUGUUUUCGAACAUUAAUGUGUACGUUGUGGGACAGCAAGGGGUAGAAUUAUUAUUUAAUUAAUAAAUUCACAGUAUUAAAAUGUUCAAUGUCAUUACUCCAUUAGUUUGUCAUCAUACUUAUAUUUAUAUCAUUAAAUAUUUACAUUGUUA
Molecule: RNA transcript, 5023 nt
Organism: Biomphalaria glabrata
Lineage: Eukaryota; Metazoa; Mollusca; Gastropoda; Planorbidae
Exons: 3
Source: RefSeq, a predicted model, not a curated record